RNAcentral lists this long non-coding RNA (828 nucleotides) under Homo sapiens (human). RNAcentral describes it as "HSALNT0348454". The record is from RNAcentral. Lineage: Eukaryota; Metazoa; Chordata; Mammalia; Primates; Hominidae.
UCAUGGAUCAUUAUGAUAUGACCUGAAUACUUGAACUCCCAUUGAGAAGAUGCAGGAAAUGGAACAUGCAAGGAAUAUGAGUGGAGAGCUGAUUGUCUUUGUCUUCUCCUGGCGAUACAUGUUACCAUGACCCAUGUAUAUCAUCUUUGCUGUGAUUUGAGUCACACUUUGCCUUUCCAAAAGUGAAAGUUCAGAGAAUGAAGCAGAGGCUCCUGGGGUUUGGUUUCUCCAGCUGGUACUUAUUUCAUUCUGGCUCUGUGGACUGGUCAUUUGGUUCCUGGAACUGGAACAGAUCUUCCUGGAAGCAAUGAGCUAAGAGCCCAGCAGAAUCAUGUCCCAGCAAAGCUUCGCAAAGAUGUCAGUAUUAAUUGUCACCAUCCUCCAGGGAGAAAGCAACAGCCCACAAUUGCCUGCAUUUUCUUUCCUCUUCAAAACCACUUCUGCUCCAAAGACCAUGAACCUGAACUGAAGAAACGACUCCUUCCUGCUGGUGUGAGAUAAUUCAGUCUCCAUGAUGUCUUAAUCCUGGGCCUCCCUUAAUUGACUUCUAACUGUGCUGAACUGUGGCUGCUAGGAGUUGCAAUGUGGAUCGCAAUUUACAAGGCACUGGAAUCGUUUCUUGUCUUCAAAUUAGUCCUGAGCUGUACUGGAGAAAGAAAAAAAAGGGGCCUUUACCCUUCUUGCUGUCUUGUCACCACAAGUGAGACUUUCUUACAGUCUCAGAAUGGAUGGUUGCCUUUUAACAAUUUAGUUAGGGACAGAAAGGAAAAAGAGUUAGGGUUGCCAAUACUUCGUCAAUUUUGUCUUAAUAAAGUUGCCUCACAUGGC